Long non-coding RNA from Mustela lutreola (European mink), 943 nucleotides. RefSeq lists it as uncharacterized. The record is from RefSeq and is a predicted model, not a curated record. NCBI's taxonomy places the organism in Eukaryota, Metazoa, Chordata, Mammalia, Carnivora, Mustelidae. The transcript is spliced from 3 exons.
AAAGACUCUGGGUAGAGCGGGCACUAUGAGAAGCAUAUAUCUGUGGGAAAAGCUGUUUGGACCUAUGCACAUCUCCCUGGCACUGCCACCACACAUCCCAUCAAGACUGACAUUACUCACUCCAUUGUUCACCAAGAUCUCUGUCCUCUGUACCUCAACUGGCAUUAGAUGGUUAACAGACAACCCACAGGCCAACAAAGACUGCUUUCAGAACUUUUCUGAGAGCAGCAGAAAUGAGAUUGCACCAACAAUCUUGAGGGAGUUGUCAUAAACUAUAACAAUCUCCAACCAUUUCAACUGCAAGUUGUGUGGCACUUAGAGAUAAAGAAAACAGCAUCCUGAGAGCUGCCCCUCCAAUAUGCUUUUGGCCAGAGCCCAUCCAAAGUGGUACCACAAGCUUGGCAAUGUGCAAGCUGCCCUGAGAGAGGCCAACACCACUUCAAAGUGACUCCUGCCCUGGGAAGAGGGAAAGAUACCACACACAUCAGUAAGACUGUAGCCCCAACAGUGGGGCUGGGGGCAGAUGGUUGUUAUGACUGCCGGCUCCAUCCACCAAUGAAAUUUUCUCAGGGAACAAAACAGAGAAAGCACCCUGUAGUUUGGUGCUACUGCAACUCUGGAAAAAUGCCUGGUCUGACCCAAUUUAACCUCAAGGAGGGCCAAGUCUGGCCCACUAAUACCACAGGAACCAAAUACUGCCCACAACAGAAAAAGAGAGGCACUGCAAACAACUGAACUAAAGGAAAAGACUGCUCAGCCACAACAGCAGGGCACAUGCAACACACAAAGGAGAUACCAUUGAAGCUCCAGAUUCUGGUGAAGAGGGGAUAUUACACCGCUGGGCACUACAGGACCUCAUCCUCAAAAAGCUACUGCUGAGUGAAAUAAGUCAAGCAGAGAGAGUCAAUUAUCAUAUGGUUUCACUUAUUUGUGGAGCAUAACA